UAUCUUUAGUUGCCAUCAUUGAGUUGGGCACUCUAAAGAGACUGCCGGUGUCAAACCGGAGGAAGGUGGGGGAUGACGUCAAGUCCUCAUGGCCUUUAUGACCAGGGCUACACACGUACCACAAUGGCCGGUACAAAGGGCAGCGACACAGCGAUGUGAAAGCCAAUCCCGAAAAGCCGGUCUCAGUCCGGAUUGGAGUCUGCAACUCGACUCCAUGAAGUUGGAAUCGCUAGUAAUCGCGGAUCAGCACGCCGCGGUCGAAUACGUUCCCGGGCCUUGU
RNAcentral lists this ribosomal RNA (280 nucleotides) under uncultured Desulfocapsa sp. RNAcentral's name for it is "partial 16S ribosomal RNA". It matches the Rfam family "Bacterial small subunit ribosomal RNA", at positions 1106 to 1384 of the family's 1533-position model. Lineage: Bacteria; Pseudomonadati; Thermodesulfobacteriota; Desulfobulbia; Desulfobulbales; Desulfocapsaceae. The record is from RNAcentral.